GACGAACGCUGGCGGCGUGCUUAACACAUGCAAGUCGAGCGGUAAGGCCCUUUCGGGGGUACGACGAGCGGCGAACGGGUGAGUAACACGUGGGUGACCUGCCCUCCAGCUCUGGGAUAAGCCUGGGAAACCGGGUACUAAUACCGGAUAUGACUCCAUGACGCAUGUUGUGGGGUGGAAAGCCUUGCGCGGCUGAGGAUGGGCCCGCGGCCUAUCAGCUUGUUGGUGGGGUGAUGGCCUACCAAGGCGACGACGGGUAGCCGGCCUGAGAGGGCGACCGGCCACACUGGGACUGAGACACGGCCCAGACUCCUACGGGAGGCAGCAGUGGGGAAUCUUGCGCAAUGGGCGAAAGCCUGACGCAGCGACGCCGCGUGAGGGAUGACGGCCUGGUUGUAAC
Molecule: ribosomal RNA, 400 nt
Filed under: uncultured bacterium
Lineage: Bacteria
Description: bacterial SSU rRNA
Rfam family: Bacterial small subunit ribosomal RNA
Source: RNAcentral